This is a non-coding RNA of Peromyscus maniculatus bairdii (prairie deer mouse), 530 nucleotides long. The record is from RefSeq and is a predicted model, not a curated record. NCBI's taxonomy places the organism in Eukaryota, Metazoa, Chordata, Mammalia, Rodentia, Cricetidae.
UGGUCCUGACUACAUAAGAAAGAUAGCUGAGCAAGCGAGCAAACGGCAUUUCCCGUGGCUUCAAGUUUCUGCUUGAGUUCCUGCCCUGAUUUCCCUCAGAGACAGACCUGGACGUAUAAGACCAAUAAGCCCUUUCCUUCCUCAGUUUCUUUCAGUCGGAGUGUUUUAUAUAGCAACAUUACAACUCCAGAGACUAAAACCACAGGAACAGGUUCUUGUGGAACCCAAGUCGACCUUAAACUUUCUACAUAACUGAGAAUUGACGCUGCCUUGGUCCUCCGGCCUCUGUAUGCACCACCUCGCCAGACAUCAUUCACUGCAGGGGCUGCCACACCUCACAUGUUACACUGCCAGUCAAAUCCAUCCUAACUGAAAUGGAGGCCCAUCUAAGUCAAAGGGACUUCAGCAGAGAGGUAACAGGCUAAGGCAGAGACAGAAACAGGAUCUCUCCAAACUCAAGGCCAGCCUGUGGAACACAGUGUGUUCCAGGACAACAAGAGCUACAAAGUGAGACCCUGUGUCAAAUAAAU